UGGGGAAUCUUGCACAAUGGGGGCAACCCUGAUGCAGCGACGCCGCGUGAGCGAUGAAGGUUUUAGAAUCGUAAAGCUCUGUCCUAUGGGAAGAUAAUGACGGUACCAUAGGAGGAAGCCCCGGCUAACUACGUGCCAGCAGCCGCGGUAAUACGUAGGGGGCGAGCGUUGUCCGGAAUUACUGGGCGUAAAGGGUUCGCAGGCGGCAUGGCAAGUCCGAUGUAAAAGGCGAAGGCUCAACCUUCGUAAGCAUCGGAAACUGUCAAGCUUGAGUGAAGGAGAGGCAAGUGGAAUUCCUAGUGUAGCGGUGAAAUGCGUAGAGAUUAGGAGGAACACCGGUGGCGAAAGCGGCUUUUUGGCCUGCAACUGACACUGAGGCGCGAAAGCGUGGGGAGCAAACAGG
Molecule: ribosomal RNA, 403 nt
Filed under: Verrucomicrobiota bacterium
Lineage: Bacteria; Pseudomonadati; Verrucomicrobiota
Description: Verrucomicrobia bacterium partial 16S ribosomal RNA
Rfam family: Bacterial small subunit ribosomal RNA
Source: RNAcentral